CCAGGUGGGGUGUGGGAGCAGGCAGGUCUCUGCCACCUCUAGGCACAUGAUGCCCUGGGCCUGAGGAGGAGACUCAGGCAAGAAGCCCAGGAUUCGCUAUCACUUCACAUGCCUGCUCCUCCAUAGGCGUGUGGCUCUGUAUUCCAAGUUUCUUCCACAGAAACUGCCCCGACGAUUGGGCUCCACGUUUCCUGUUGGCUUCCAGGGUGAUGCUCUUCAGCAUUGUGCUCCCUGCCCGCCCACCCGGUCUGGGUCUGUGGUGUCCUGGGCAGGCCCACUGUGGCACACUUGAUGCCCAGGCCUGAGGAGCAAAGCAGGCCCUGCCCAAACCAGCCCGCUACGAGGCCUCACACCUCAAAGCCAGCUAGAGACCCCUGGGCACUGCCUGGGUCCCAACUGGAGGGCCCCAGCCUGUGGGGCGCGCUCCCAAGCCAGUCUCAGGGCCACUGGAGUUGGAGUCAGCGGAGUGGACACAUGAAGGUCCCAGUUCCAAGCCCAAGGCAGAGGCAGGAACAACAGGCUGGGCCACUCCAAGGAAGACAGAAGAACCAAAGGACAGGGAAGGAAGUUUGCAGAUGAGAGAUCACCUCCUUUCCCCAUAUUUACACACACACACACACAAACGCGUGUGCGCGGUGUGAUCAAAAAUAUGGUGAAUUCUUAAAUUUAAAAUUGACUGCAAUGAAGCAUCCCCCGGGACAAAUGCCCCUCAGAGUCCUCCCCUCACUUUGAACACACUCCUUCCAUCCUUUUCACCACUUCCUGCAGCAGCUCUGGAGUCCUUUCCUGAGUGUCUUUAGUUGCACUGUCUGGGCAGCCUGGGGGGUCUUGAAUUAAUUCAAAACGUUUCCUUUUCAGGGUCAUUUUGACCUUGGGGAAGAGUGGGAAGGAAGUCACACGGUGCCUGAUGCAUGCCUGAGUGCGUGAGGACGCACUCUGGUGGUUUUAGGAGCUCCCUUUCUGUUGGACGGUGCUCACAGCCCAUUUACCAUUGUUUCAGUCACACCUCGUAAAGAUGCUAGAAAGUAGCAAAGACAAAGGGAUGAGAGUGUUCAGAGCCAGGGGAGGCUUCUGGGGG
This is a long non-coding RNA of Heterocephalus glaber (naked mole-rat), 1078 nucleotides long. NCBI's taxonomy places the organism in Eukaryota, Metazoa, Chordata, Mammalia, Rodentia, Bathyergidae. The record is from Ensembl.